This 445-nucleotide ribosomal RNA is filed under the name uncultured bacterium. RNAcentral describes it as "partial 16S ribosomal RNA". It matches the Rfam family "Bacterial small subunit ribosomal RNA", at positions 354 to 796 of the family's 1533-position model. The record is from RNAcentral.
GUGAGGAAUAUUGGUCAAUGGACGAGAGUCUGAACCAGCCAAGUCGCGUGAAGGAAGACGGUUCUAUGAAUUGUAAACUUCUUUUGUGCAGGAAUAAAGUGGGUUACGUGUAACCUUUUGUAUGUACUGUACGAAUAAGGAUCGGCUAACUCCGUGCCAGCAGCCGCGGUAAUACGGAGGAUCCGAGCGUUAUCCGGAUUUAUUGGGUUUAAAGGGUGCGUAGGUGGAUUGAUAAGUCAGCGGUGAAAGUUUGCAGCUUAACUGUAAAAUUGCCGUUGAAACUGUCGGUCUUGAGUGCAAAUGAGGUAGGAGGAAUGUGUUGUGUAGCGGUGAAAUGCUUAGAUAUAACACAGAACUCCGAUUGCGAAGGCAGCUUACUGGGAUGCAACUGACACUGAUGCACGAAAGCGUGGGUAUCAAACAGGAUUAGAUACCCCAGUAGUCC